ACCCCCUUAGUAUAAUAUGUACAAACGAUUUCCAAUCAUUAAGUCUCACAAACCAGGGUGAGAGGGGGUA
RNAcentral lists this transfer RNA (70 nucleotides) under Ptyodactylus guttatus (Sinai fan-fingered gecko). RNAcentral's name for it is "tRNA-Gly". Lineage: Eukaryota; Metazoa; Chordata; Lepidosauria; Squamata; Phyllodactylidae. The record is from RNAcentral.